Long non-coding RNA from Dreissena polymorpha, 1476 nucleotides. RefSeq lists it as uncharacterized. Lineage: Eukaryota; Metazoa; Mollusca; Bivalvia; Myida; Dreissenidae. The record is from RefSeq and is a predicted model, not a curated record. The transcript has 3 exons.
UUCGCCCCAUAGGUAACACAAUAUACGUAAACAGUUGAAAGAAGUCCGUUACUGCAACCAACAACUUUGCAUCUCCAGAUUCUGCAUUCGCAAACAAAAUAGCUCUGAUCGCAUGGUUUUUGUAUUAAUGCGCCACAAAAAAACACUGACAAAGAAUAUCGUUAUUUUCGGUUGCAAAAAUUGACCAAUCAGAAGAUGUAAAAGCUAUCGGAAAUUGUUUUAUUUUUAGCUCACCUGUCACGAAGUGACAUGGUGAGCUUAUGUGACCGUGUGAUGUCCGGCGUCCGUUGUGUGUGCGUGUGUGCGUGCGUCCGUCAACAAUUUGUUUGUGUAGACAGUAGAGGUCACAGUUUUCAUCCAAUCUUUAUGAACUUUGGUCAGAUUGUUUAUCUUGAUGAAAUCUGGCUUGGGAUUGUAUUUGGGUCAUCUGGGGUCAAAAACUAGGUCAUUAGGUCAAAAACUAGGUCACAUAAUAGGUCAAAUAAUAGAAAAACCUUGUGUAGACAAAAGAGGCCGCAGUUUUCAUCCAAACUUUAUGAACUUUGGUCAGAAUAUUUAUCUUGAUGGAAUCUGGGUUGGGAUUGUAUUUGGGUCAAAAACUAGGUCACUAGGUAAAAAACUAGGUCACAUAAUAGGUCAAAUAAUAGAAAAACCUUGUGUAGACAAUAGAGGCCGCAGUUUUCAUCCAAUCUUUAUGAAAUUUGGUCAAAAUGUUUAUCUUGAUAAAAUCUGGGUUGGGAUUGUAUUUGGGUCAUCUGGGGUCAAAAACUAGGUCACUAGGUCAAAUAAUUGAAAAAUCAUCAAUUAUUUGUUUGUGUUGACAGUAGAGGUCACAGUUUUCAUCCUAUGUUUAUGAAAUUUGGACAGAAUGUUUAUUUUGAUGAAAUCUGGGUUGGGAUUGUAUUUGGGUCAUCUGGGGUCAAAAACUAGGUCACUAGGUCAAAAACUAGGUCAACUAAUAGAAAAACCUUGUAUAGACAAUAGAGGUCGCAGUUAUCAUCCAAUCUUUAUGAAAUUUGGUCAGAAUGUUUAUCUUGAUGAAAUCUGGCUUGGGAAUGUAUUUUGGUCAUCUGGGGUCAAAAACUAGGUCACUAGGUCAAAAAAUAUGUCAAAUAAUAGAAAAACCUUGUGUAGACAAUAGAGGUCGCAGUUUUCAUCCAAUCUUUAUGAAAUUCGGUCAGAAUGUCUAUCUUGAUGAAAUCUGGGUUGGGAUUGUAUUUGGAUCAUCUGAGGUCAAAGACUAGGUCACUAGGUCAAAUAAUAGAAAACCCGUCAACAAUUUGUUUGUGUAGACAGUAGAGGUCACAGUUUUCAUCCAAUCUUUAUGAAAUUUGGUCAGAAUGUUUAUCUUGAUGAAAUCUGAGUUGGGUUUGUAUUUGGGUCAUCUGGGGUCAAAAACUAGGUCACUAGGUCAAAUUAUAGAAAAACCUUUUGUAGACAAUAGAGGUCACAGUUUUCAUCCAAUCUUUAUGAAAU